This 493-nucleotide ribosomal RNA is filed under the name uncultured bacterium. RNAcentral describes it as "partial 16S ribosomal RNA". It matches the Rfam family "Bacterial small subunit ribosomal RNA", at positions 29 to 507 of the family's 1533-position model. The record is from RNAcentral.
ACGAACGCUGGCGGCGUGCUUAACACAUGCAAGUCGAACGGUGAAGCGCCUUCCUUUUUGGUGGGUGUGGAUGAGUGGCGAACGGGUGAGUAACACGUGAGUAACCUGCCCCCUUCUUCUGGAUAACCGCAUGAAAGUGUGGCUAAUACGGGAUAUUCUGGGUCUGUCGCAUGAUGGGUCUGGGAAAGAUAUUGUUUCGGUGGGGGAUGGGCUCGCGGCCUAUCAGCUUGUUGGUGGGGUGAUGGCCUACCAAGGCGGUGACGGGUAGCCGGCCUGAGAGGGUGGACGGUCACACUGGGACUGAGACACGGCCCAGACUCCUACGGGAGGCAGCAGUGGGGAAUAUUGCACAAUGGGAGCAAGCCUGAUGCAGCGACGCCGCGUGAGGGAUGGAGGCCUUCGGGUUGUGAACCUCUUUCGCCAGUGAAGCAGGCCUGCCUCGUUUGUGGGUGGGUUGACGGUAGCUGGAUAAGAAGCGCCGGCUAACUACGUG